RNAcentral lists this ribosomal RNA (1443 nucleotides) under uncultured bacterium. Its description in RNAcentral is "partial 16S ribosomal RNA". It matches the Rfam family "Bacterial small subunit ribosomal RNA". The record is from RNAcentral.
GAUGAACGCUGGCGGCGUGCCUAAUACAUGCAAGUCGAACGCGAGCACUUGUGCUCGAGUGGCGAACGGGUGAGUAAUACAUAAGUAACCUGCCCUAGACAGGGGGAUAACUAUUGGAAACGAUAGCUAAGACCGCAUAGGUACGGACACUGCAUGGUGACCGUAUUAAAAGUGCCUCAAAGCACUGGUAGAGGAUGGACUUAUGGCGCAUUAGCUGGUUGGCGGGGUAACGGCCCACCAAGGCGACGAUGCGUAGCCGACCUGAGAGGGUGACCGGCCACACUGGGACUGAGAUACGGCCCAGACUCCUACGGGAGGCAGCAGUAGGGAAUUUUGCGCAAUGGGCGAAAGCCUGACGCAGCAACGCCGCGUGAGGGAUGACGGCCUUCGGGUUGUAAACCUCUGUUGAGUGGGAAAAAAGGGUAGCAAUACUUUGAUGGUACCAUUCGAGUAAGCACCGGCUAACUACGUGCCAGCAGCCGCGGUAAUACGUAGGGUGCGAGCGUUGUUCGGAAUCACUGGGCGUAAAGGGAGCGUAGGCGGGAUCGUAAGUUAGGAGUUUAAUGCAUGGGCUUAACCCAUGACCUGCUUUUAAUACUGCGAUUCUUGAGUAUGGGAGAGGGCGAUGGAAUUCCAGGUGUAGCGGUGGAAUGCGUAGAUAUCUGGAAGAACACCAGUAGCGAAGGCGGUCGCCUGGCCUAAUACUGACGCUGAGGCUCGAAAGCUAGGGGAGCAAACAGGAUUAGAUACCCUGGUAGUCCUAGCCGUAAACGAUGAAUACUCGCUGUUUGCGAUAUACAGUAAGCGGCCAAGCGAAAGCAUUAAGUAUUCCACCUGGGGAGUACGCCGGCAACGGUGAAACUCAAAGGAAUUGACGGGGGCCCGCACAAGCGGAGGAACAUGUGGUUUAAUUCGAUGAUACGCAAAGAACCUUACCCGGGCUUAAAUUGCAACAGAAUAUAUUGGAAACAGUAUAGCCGUAAGGCUGUUGUGAAGGUGCUGCAUGGUUGUCGUCAGCUCGUGCCGUGAGGUGUCGGCUUAAGUGCCAUAACGAGCGCAACCCUUAUCUUUAGUUACUAACAGGUGAUGCUGAGGACUCUAGAGAGACUGCCGUCGUAAGAUGUGAGGAAGGUGGGGAUGACGUCAAAUCAGCACGGCCCUUACGUCCAGAACUACACACGUGUUACAAUGGGGGGUACAGAAGGCAGCUACACGGCGACGUGAUGCUAAUCCCAAAAACCUCUCUCAGUUCGGAUCGAAGUCUGCAACCCGACUUCGUGAAGCUGGAUUCGCUAGUAAUCGCGCAUCAGCCAUGGCGCGGUGAAUACGUUCCCGGGCCUUGUACACACCGCCCGUCAAGCCAUGAAAGCCGGGGGUACCUGAAGUACGUAACCGCAAGGAGCGUCCUAGGGUAAAACUGGUAAUUGGGGCUAAGUCGUAACA